CUCUCGCGACUGAAAAUAGCUAGGGUUCCACGGCGAGCCUCCCAGCCGCCGCCGGUGCCCUCCGCCGUCGUGAGCCUCCCAGCCGCUGUCGCGAGCCUCUCCGCCGCUGCCGGUGCCCUCCGCCGUCGCGAGCCAUUGCCAGUGCCCUCCCCGUCUGCCGCCACCGAUGCUCUCCCAGCCGCUGUCGUGCGUUUGCAGACGCCAUGGAGCCGGCGGUGCGCGUGCAGCUGGCAGGGCUCGGUGAGGACAACCGCCAGGAGGGGCUGUGUAGGCGGCCGUCGCCCCAUCCGCUCCAUCCUCUCCUCGAGGCCCAGUUCGAGCGGGCAACAUGGCGGUCCCAGAUUUGCGGCGGAUCUAGCUCGCCCACCUCUUUCCCCAGUUUUUGUUGCUUCGGAUCGCUUCCUCCUUGACACCCCGAUCCGGACGGCGGCAACAGCGAUGGCGUCGACACUCAGCGUGCCUACCUCUCCAUCUAUAACUGGCCCAUCUUCUUUGGAAGCCUAAUUGGGAUCCUCGGAGAGAACAACAGCUCCAAAUCGUCAGUACCACUCUCAUGCAAGUGCGGUACCGCGUGCGGCUGCUCCUGCUGCAGCUGCAACUGAGCCGGCGCCCAGGAGGCCAGCCGGCAGAGGCGAGCACGAGGAUGAGAGGAGGACAAGCAACCAACCAAGCAAGCACCAUCACCAGUUCGCCACCAAACCAAUCUCAAUUUCACUGCCCUCAGUCGCACGUUCUGUAUGCAGGUGCUGAAGGAGAGCAUCAAGAUCUAAUGUGCGGUGAACGAUGGCAUCAUCAACCUCGUGGAUGUGCCACCGGCGUCGUUUCUUGUGACGAUGGAACAGUACAUCAGAGAAGCUCCCAGGGCUGGUCAGGUUGCAAACAAGACCAUUGUUGUGGCAGGAACAUCCAUAUCUGGUCUGCUGGCCAAUUUUAAAUUCUUGUUUAUGCGGAGAGGCGCCGAGCCAGCUGCUAGUGUCGUCUGCUUUUGGCAGUUGUUGAUGAGAUGAAUGUGGGCAUCAACCGACCUCAGCAGCAGCUCCAGGAAUAGCCUUCACCUGGGUGUGCCGUGUGCAGCACCACCACCACUAGUAGCAGCAGCUCUAGGAUAAGGCCUAGAGGUGGAGUGGAGGAGUGUUGUGUGCAGCAGCACCACCACCAGUAGUAGCAGCAGCUCGGGAGAGGAGGAUCGCCUGGGCCUAGAAGUGGAGGCGCUUGGACCUGGGUGCAGUCUUGGAGGUGGAGGCACCAGGAUCUGGGUGGAGGUGGAUGUGGAGGUCGAGGGCGAGGCCGGAUGUGCCAUAUAUUAUGUAGUAAUGCCAAAUAUUAUGACAUGGAUGUGCUAUAUCUAUAUAAUGGGAUAUGGAUUAUGUUAUAUGA
RNA transcript from Hordeum vulgare subsp. vulgare (domesticated barley), 1377 nucleotides. RefSeq lists it as uncharacterized. Lineage: Eukaryota; Viridiplantae; Streptophyta; Magnoliopsida; Poales; Poaceae. The transcript is spliced from 8 exons. The record is from RefSeq and is a predicted model, not a curated record.